Molecule: long non-coding RNA, 838 nt
Organism: Asparagus officinalis (garden asparagus)
Lineage: Eukaryota; Viridiplantae; Streptophyta; Magnoliopsida; Asparagales; Asparagaceae
Exons: 2
Source: RefSeq, a predicted model, not a curated record
ACGGUCUUUGCUUUUACCCUUUAAUAGUCCAAUUCCUCUCUUUGGCUACUACAUAUAUUUCUUUCUAUUUGCAAAAUUUAAACAAUGUUCGUCAUUCAGAUUAAAAGGUUAUGGAAUCACUCUCCUGGCUAGUUGCUAUAAUUCUUUUAGUUUUUCGGUUAAUGCAUAAUAGCCUUAAUUUACUCCUAUUCUUGCUUAUUAAGCACAUGUUCUUCUUCCUAAUGUAAAACAAUUACAUUUAAUAUUUUUGCACAAAUACACGAGUCUUUGCACGCAUUAUAUAUCAAACUCGGUGUUGCUUGAGCUUGUUUAAUGAUCGCUGAAUCGAAAUAUAAGGUCUAAAUUUACCAACUUUGUUCAUUUUGCAGGUCUAUCCUCUCUUUUUUGCUGUUGGCACUGCUGUUGGUAUUUGCGGGUUCCAACUGGUACGAAACAUCGUAACCAACCCCGAAGUGAGAGUGUCUAAAGAAAACAGAACUGCUGGUAUUCUUGAAAACUACGCUGAGGGGGAGAAAUACGCUGAGCAUGGCCUUCGCAAAUUUGUUCGCAACAAGCGCCCUGAGAUCAUGCCAUCCCUUAACAAGUUCUUUUCAGACCCACAAUGAAGAAAGUUGCGAUAAAGGGAUAUUUUGCUUCGUUUGCAUUGCCUGAGUAAUAAUUACAGUUGCAAACCUCUGAACAAUAUAUCAAUAAAGAUUAUAUUUUUAGGAGCCAGCAUUUUUUUUAAGACCCUUUUCUUCAAUGGAAAACUUUUUUUGAAAUUACAGGGUAUGGAGGUUGUUGUUAAAGAAUAACUAUUGGCAUUUCUUAAUGCCAUUUCAUGAGAUUUCUGAUCUUA